GUGAAUCAUCAAAUCUUUGAACGCAAAUUGCACUCCCUGGUGUUCCGGGGAGUAUGCCUGUUUGAGGGUCGGUAGAACAAAAAUCGAAGCGUCGCUCGUUUUUUAAUGGUGAUCGCGGCGGGAUGGAGCCGCCUUGCAUGUGUUAAUUCAUGUCAAAGGGGCGUAAAAUUCAGCCAUUCGAUACUGUUAAAGCGUAUUUAAGAUCAAUUUUGAUUAAGAACGCGCGAUGACGUACCAUCUCAUGUAGUACGUUUGACCUGGUGCAUCAGGUUCAUUCGUAUACGAUACUCAAACUUUUGA
This 300-nucleotide unclassified non-coding RNA is filed under the name Funneliformis mosseae. Its description in RNAcentral is "partial contains 5.8S ribosomal RNA and internal transcribed spacer 2". The stretch from base 1 to 71 matches the Rfam family "5.8S ribosomal RNA", at positions 84 to 154 of the family's 154-position model. The record is from RNAcentral. Lineage: Eukaryota; Fungi; Glomeromycota; Glomeromycetes; Glomerales; Glomeraceae.